AAUCAGUUAUGGUUCCUUAGAUCGUUCAUACUACAUGGAUAACUGUGGUAAUUCUAGAGCUAAUACAUGCAAAAAGCUCCGACCGUAUGGGAAGAGCGCUUUUAUUAGACCAAAACCAAUGGGGUCGCAAGACUCCUUUGUAUGGUGACUCUGGAUAACUUUGUGCUGAUCGCAUGGCCUAGAGCCGGCGACGUAUCUUUCAAGUGUCUGCCCUAUCAACUUUCGAUGGUAAGCGAUUUGCCUACCAUGGUUGUAACGGGUAACGGGGAAUCAGGGUUCGAUUCCGGAGAGGGAGCAUGAGAAAUGGCUACCACAUCUACGGAAGGCAGCAGGCGCGCAAAUUACCCACUCCUAGAACGGGGAGGUAGUGACGAAAAAUAACAAUACCGGACUCAAUGAGGCUCGGUAAUUGAAAUGAGUACAGUUUAAAACCCUUAACGAGGAUCUAUUGGAGGGCAAGUCUGGUGCCAGCAGCCGCGGUAAUUCCAGCUCCAAUAGCGUAUAUUAAAGUUGUUGCAGUUAAAAAGCUCGUAGUUGGAUCUCGGGUACUAGCAUGUGGUACGCUUAAUUGCUGUUACUACAUGUCUGGUCCUAAUCAACCGGUUGGCCGUUGAUGUCCUUUAUUGGGUGUUUUCGGUAGCCGGUACGUUUACUUUGAGAAAAUUAGAGUGCUUAAAGCAGGCCUUACGCCUGAAUAAUGUUGCAUGGAAUAAUAGAAUAGGACCUCGGUUCUAUUUUGUUGGUUUUGUAGAGCAUUGAGGUAAUGAUUAAUAGGGACAGACGGGGGCAUUCGUAUUGCGGUGUUAGAGG
This 810-nucleotide ribosomal RNA is filed under the name Brachionus quadridentatus brevispinus. RNAcentral's name for it is "SSU rRNA". It matches the Rfam family "Eukaryotic small subunit ribosomal RNA", at positions 104 to 911 of the family's 1831-position model. Lineage: Eukaryota; Metazoa; Rotifera; Eurotatoria; Ploima; Brachionidae. The record is from RNAcentral.